Long non-coding RNA from Cercocebus atys (sooty mangabey), 9180 nucleotides. RefSeq lists it as uncharacterized. NCBI's taxonomy places the organism in Eukaryota, Metazoa, Chordata, Mammalia, Primates, Cercopithecidae. The record is from RefSeq and is a predicted model, not a curated record. The transcript is spliced from 3 exons.
UCAAUCCAUCAUCCCUCCACUCAUCCAUUCACCCAUUAAUCCAUCCCUCCAUCCAUCACUCCACUCAUCCAUACAUCCUUUUAUCUACCCAUCCGUCUGUCCACAUAUCCAUCCAUCCACCCAUCCAUUCAUCCAUCAUCCCUCUACUCAUUCAUCAAUCCAUCAUCUCUCCACUCAUCCAUUCAUCCAACCAUCCAUCUACUCAUCUAUCUAUUCUUCCAUAUACUUAUUUACUUCCUGACCACCACCACCGCCACCAAAAAUGUAGCAAUUCCUUUUAGUAACAGCUGCUUCGAUAUCAUCAUGAGCUUCAUCAAGGUGACUAAUUUCAGAGAGAGCUUUGAGAAUCAGAAACUUAAAGACUGGCAUUGGGUGUCACUGAGAAAACAGCAGACAGAUGUUAACAUGAGCUCUGCUGUUCUGAGUGGUAUUUUCCUGGAAGUCUGUCAAGGAGUUUUCCAACUAAAAUUAACUUUGUGACAUCUGAGCCAGAAACACAAGCUGUGCUUCAUUCCCAGCCCUCAUGCAUGUGCCUGCGUGCAUGUGUGUGAGUGCCACUGUGUGCCUGUGCCCGUGUGCACAUGCUUCUGUGUGCCUACAUGCUUCUGUGUGUAGAUUUGCAUGCCUAUGCCUGGUGUAUGUGUAUGUGUGCAUGAGUCUGUGUGUUGGGGAUGAGAUCAGGUAUAGUAAAUAUUUUGGGGAAUAGUAAGAAAAGGCAGCAUUGUAUUAAUUGGCACAUCGUUCACAAGAAUUUAAACACCAUGUAGCUCACUUUACAGAACUCAAACAUGCUUUCUGAAUUGCAUUGAAUUGAAGGAAGAAGCACACCUUUGCCAGGAUUACUCCAGGGAAUCUUGUCAUUCAGUCACCAGCAAAGGUGGAGUGGAUUCUUUAUAAUGUGCCUGUCUUUAGUUAUCCAGGUGGUAACAAUGAAUGACAGAUGAAAUGGCAACCAGAAGGCCUGACUAUUUCUGAGGCUGACUCUGUAGGCUAUAUUUUGAAGUGUCUACUUUUCUAGAAAUGGCUCCAUUUCUCCCCAGGGACUCCAUUCUUUGAACUCCAUUAAUAGGCUUUUUUGUCUUCUGGCUUUCAGUUGCAUUUGGUCAGCGGCGGUGGUGAUGGGAGUAGCCAUCGGGGAGGGGGACACAAACAGCAGGCUAGAAGGGGUAUGGAGGAAAGUUAGGUUGGGUAUUUAUUCCCCUGGGUUCUUUAUAAGGGUUACUUUAGGCUGGUUGCACCCCUUGACUGAAAUGCAUACUUCUAUGUCAGCCCUUUGGGUAUCUGCUACCUCUUCCUUCCCCUAUCAAGCCUAGGAUGGAAACAGGAACUGCCUUUAUCAGCUCUGGCCUCUUGCACUGUCUCCCGUGAUCUUCCUACCCCUUGCUCAUGACUUUGUAAUAAUUCCAUUUAUUAGCCUUAACUUGUCCCAAUUUUCUGCCAAGGUGUCUCUGAUACACAGAACACCUAAGGUAAUGGGACCCUAAAGCAAGUCUAAACCCAUCUGUGUGUGAUUUUUCUCCAUUGAAAGUUAUAUCAUACCAGACUUCCUUGCCCACAAGAAAGUUGUCAAGGCACAAUGAGAAAGUAGAAGAAGGGUUCUGGAAGGGUUAAAAUAAAAAGGCAAUUCAACAGUAAGAUGCUAAUGCACCUUAUACAAUGUCAUCUCUGUAUCUUUUCAGCUAUAAUAAUAGGCAAGAGUAAAAUGCUUAGUCACUCACUAUCCCAGGAAAGUGGAUCCUGUGCUUUCUGAGAUGUUCAUUAGGCAGCAUCUUGCUUUCUACUGAUAAUUCAGCUGAGCAUGAAAAAUGUGUUGCACAAAUUCCAAACUUCAUCAGAACAUCCCCACACAUGGCUGGGUGCCCUCCAUUCUGUGGACACAGAUGUCCAGUCGCUGAGACAAAUGAGUCACACUGGAAAUCGGUAAGUGCCAUAAAACCACACUUGACUUCCCGAGUGCAGCUUGCUUGGAAUGCAUGGUUUUUGACCAAACUCAAGGAAGAACUUUGCCGGGCAUUCCAGGACACAGCCUCUUGUAGCUUAGGGUAAAACAGUCCUUGAGAUGCCUCAGCACCCAGCAUCCACAACACUCUAGGAUAUACAUUCCCAUGGGGGCACCUCUCCAUAUCCUUCACCCUGGCUAUGGGCUUGCCCAGUGAGGCACAGGGACAUUUGAAGUCCUGGGUGAGCAAGCAUGAGCACACGGGUUAGGCUGUCCUACCCUGUUUUCUCAGGCAGUUGUUCCAUACCCAGAUUUUUCAGUGUUGUGUGUGGAUUGCCAUACACCCCAAGUCUAGGUUCAUCCAUUUAAUGAGAUGCACCUCACUGGCUACAGCACUCACAGGUUUAAGCUAAGCAGGAAGAAAGUGUAUAAGGUGUAGCAGGUAGGUACUUUCUUGCCUGAUGCAUUCCACUCCUUUGAUAAGCAGAAACAAACAAACAAAAAAAAAACAACUGAAGGCCAGGAUUAGGGCUGGAGAGCAAAGAGGAAGAUGGAAUUUUCUUGGACAUUUUGCUGUGGAGUAGCAAGCAGAGCAGCAGGGAGCAGGAACAAAGAUAUUUGGCACAAAGAAGGCUUUGACUCGCUAGUUACAUUCUACAGAGUUUGGGGGGCUCUCUCUGGAAGGGUUCCAAGCUCUGCAUAUCAAGGUCUCCCUGGUCUUAUGUCCUUCAGACUAGACUCCAAUGUCUGAUUGUGUCAGCAAUGCCUCAAGGCAAUGUCUUACCACCCCAUUUCACACUUAGUUUCUGGAAUAGCCUCCUCACUUUAUCUGUCUUUCCUCUCCUCCUUUACCAUAGCAAUAGGGACCCGAGUAGGGAGGAUGCUCUGCGUCCCUGGUUCCCUCAAUCUUCUUGGAAGAGUCUGGUCUCUCUCCUGAUAGAGUUUUAGGUUUGCCCUGAUGAUCCAGAUGAAGCAAAGUGUGGUGACACUUCGCUGAAUGCUCUGUCAGUGUGCCUAGAAAUAGAGUCUCUAUCAGGGUUGUCUGCUUCCUAUCACACUCCAACUGGCAAGCAGGUGGAUUUUCUCACUUGGCAGCUGGCUCCCAUCUGCCCCCUGUCAGUCUGCAAAUAUUACCCAAGUUAAACGCGAACUUCUAGCAGUGAUGUGCACAGCCACAAAAAAAAUAUGAAUUCAAAUAUACACUUUUGAAAGGGACACCUUAGUUCAGUCAUUUAAAUUCAUUAUCUCAAAGAUCAGUUUCACUAAAACUCCCACUUGUGCUCAACAGAAAUCACGCUGACGUCAGGCACUUCCCUCAAUUCUCAGAAGUUGAGCAGGUCUAAGCCAUCCCGUUCAACACACAAUUCCCUUCAGUUUCCCUUACAAGACCUCAAACAAAUGUCCAGGAACUGAUUCAGGAUAUAUGUUCUCCUCGGAAACUGGUUACUCAAGUUCUUGGUGGCUUAAUACAAAUACAGUAAACAAGGGACUUCCCAGGGGAGUCAUUCAGUCAAAGCCAGCAUGGGACCUGGUGACCUGCAGUGUCACAGGCUGGACUUCAGCACAAUGAGUUCUUACAUAACAGAAAACACAUGGGUUAAAAGUCACAGACACAUCCUGAAGAUACUUCCCUUAUUUAUAUAUUUUUAAACUUUUAUUUUAGGUUUGGGGGUACAUGUGAAAGUUUAUUAUAUAGAUAAACACGUCAUGUGGGUUUGUCAUACAGAUUAUUUCAUCACCCGGGUAGUAAGCCCAGUACCCAAUAGUUAUCUUUUCUGCUCCUCUUCCUCCUCCCACAUACCCCUACUUUCCUUAUUUUAAGAAAACAAUGCUGGUGAUGUCCCUACAGCUCUUCCUAAAGGUAGAUGAAUGAACUACAGUUCUAUUAAAGACCCUAUGGGUCCAGACCUGUGUGUGUCAGUUCUAGUUUACUAAUCCCUUACUGAACGCAUUUGACAGGAUCUUUGCUGUUAACAGGGGACAGAGCAAGGACAUGUGACAUGUGACUUCAGCUAUAAAAUAACACAGCAGCUCCCAUCACCUGCUCCUCAGAGAGCUCCUCAGGAGCAAGGAUGUAAGUCCCUUUCCCCUAUGUCUCCCUGAAUGACUCUCACUUGGCCAUAAUUUACAACGAGAGGGUAUACAUGCUCAUGAAGGAUGCAUAUCUUUGCCUCUGUCUACCCUGACACUGGCCCUGGCCCUGUGGACUAGAAAGUCUUUGAGAAAAUUGUGAGGUCCUGCAAUUGUGUGAUUUCCUUCCGUGUACCCAGGUUCUGAAUCGGAGCAUAGAGAGCGACCAUCAUUGGCCAGGGAGAGUCUAGAGGACAUGUCAUGGCUGUCUUUUUUGUCUCUCUUUUGUUAGAUUCCUGGUAUCAUUUAUGGCCACAGGUCAUUUUACUGAAGAGGAGGAACCUGGGAUCAAGUUCUGUGACUUCAAAGAAGAGUCAUGUGUACAAAACUUUGGGAGACGAUCACCACAGACAGGAUUUGGAGACAGGAGCCUAUUUGAUCUUUUUCUUCUCCUUCUUAAAAGUGAUAAUAUGAACAUAAAACUAUUUACAGCUUUAAACAAACCCGUAGUUCAGUACUGAAGCGUGCGUAACACAUUCCUCUCAACUGAACAAUACACAAGCAGGCAUUCUGGAGAUUUUAUUGCACCAGAUUGGUGUGAUUAUAAGUAAGAAGAUUGGCAACAUCAGCUCCCUGGAAAAAGGCUUGACACAGGUUAACACUUUAAUAUGAAUAACUUUUUCUCUAAUUAAAAAAAGAUUUCUUAAUGUAUUUUCUUUGCUUAAUCUCCACUGUGUCUUGCUGUAUCCAACCCUACAUCUUUGUCUGUAUUCACAUGCGUAUAUAUUCAAUCCUAUAUCUCAAAUAUGAAAAUUAUCUCCAUCCCUUCUUGCCCUAUUGUUGCCGUGAUUUGCAGAGCAUCAUUGUGCAGCUGUGGAUGAAUGGCCUUCCGGGGCUGUUUCCAACCUUAUUUCCUUUUGCUGCUGGUUAGUUUGAUGCCCUAGGUUUAAGUGUUGGGAUAUUUGUGGUUUGGAACUUCUAAGUUUCAUGCUAGUUUUUUUAAUGAAAAAAAACUAUGCUUGGGAUAUGCAUUCUUAUCUAAAGAACAAGAAAUGUUCUUGUUGACCCUCAUAUGACCCUCAGGAACCAAAUUCAGGCUCUGGGCAUCCGGGAUUAAGCUUCCUGAAAAGCUCUACUUCAUGGGCUGACAGUUACGUGCCUUUCACAUGAAAAUUUCCUCUGCUGCUGAAAGAAAAUGCACAAUUACCAGAGGAAAUGUCACUUCACAUGAUGCACAGGUGAUAGAGAAAAAAUGUGCAUUUGUGUAAAGAAACAAACAUUCCCAAAUAUGCCUGCCUCAUUUGUGCUUCCUUAAGGGCAAAAUGCCCUUUUGGGAAACAGACCUUUCCUAGUAGCAUUUUCAAUGACUCUCAGUCCUUCUCACAUUUGGCUUUGACUGAAUUCAGACUUUUCUUGUCAAUUAAAAAUGAUAAAUUUGACUUCUUGCAGGAAGAUAAAUGAUCAGCCUGUGUCAAGCAUGUGAAGACCUAAGAUUUCAGAUGCACUGGAAUCAUCCUGAAAAAUUCAUCCGGCACACCCAGAUGGAUGAUCAAAUGACCGUCAUCCAGGGAAAGUCUGGGAGGUCUCACGCAGUAUGCAGACACUGGAAAAUUCCUACCUUCCUACAGAAGACGUGAAAUUGAGGAAAAAAGAAGCAAUACCAAGUUGCAUUAGGAGCCACGAAAGCCAGGCUUUGCCAACUUUACAGUUUGGGGCAGGUUGGCUGUUAGCUGGAAUGCCAUCUGGGUAUUGAGGACCUUGCCCAUUAAACAGGAGCUCCUAUUUAAUGUCUUGGUAAGAGGAAGCACCACAAUCACUAUGUUAGUGCUUCCAGGUCAAGGUAUUUCCACUGUGAUGACAUUAGGGUGCAGUUCUCUGCAAAAUAGUGCUGUUUUAAGCUGUCUAAGUGUGAGAUUAUGUAUUACAACAGGGAGCUUUUUUUUUGCUUAUUAUCUUUUGUAAGACACCAAGGAUGAAAGAUACUUACUUCAUCAAGGUAAGUGAGCCGUUUAGUGCCACUGAAUAUCUUACCCCUGUGGCUCACCAUAGAAACCCAGCCUGGGUAUUUUAUUGCCUUCUGUACAGAUAUAUUGAAAUGAGAUGCUCAUCACCACAGGUUUCUUGCCACUCUACAUAUCCGUAUUCACUCUCUGAGCUGGAGUUGUCUUCCUAAGGGUAAUGUGAGAAGGAUUUUCUUUCCAAUAUCCCCAGAUUUAUAGGGUUUCUAUUUUACAAGACCUUAUGGCACAUAUUUAGCUAGAGGCAGGUAAAACGAAAAAGGAUUAAAAAGUCUAGCACCACCAGAGAAGAAAGGGAUUGAAAUAUAAGCAGAUGAUUUGUAGUGUAGAAAGAAAAGUGGAACCUCUUUGUUGCUGAUGGUCUAGUGAUUGUAGCACAAAUUUCUGUGGAUUGAAGCAAUGGCUCGUUUGUACUGAGAAAAGGUGCUUUAGAUUAAUUUUAGAAACUUCAAUACUGCAAUGUGCUAAAUUUUAAUUAUUUCACUUCCUGCUUGGUAUAUUAAUGUUGUGAUUACCCUUGAAAGAGUAUUACCGAUGAUGAUUUAUGCAAAACCCAGUCAGCUCCACGGCUCCAUCAGUUUCAGUUAAAACAAGCCACAGAGGAGGUGUGCUGCGGCCCUGGUGCCUGUGAUCACCAUUGCUCCCACAAGCAGACUGUGGCUCCCGUGUUCUAUCAGUGCAGUCUCCACAGGCAGCAGUUUCUUCAGGACCAUCAUACCCAAGAGCACUUAGCAGUGGAAAUGUCACCUUUAUUAUCAUUCUCCUCCAUCUGAAGAAAACAGUUAUAAAGCCUGCCGACCAAUGCUGUCUUGGAAACUAAAUGACAGAGAAAUUAUAAAGGCCAAAAGAAAAUGGUAUACACUAUAAUAAGUUGAAUACAAAUUUCAGUGGAACUUUUUUUCUUGGCAAGUGUUGCUUUGCAGAGCCUUACCAGCUUUUUGUGGCAGGAUAUUUGCUGGCUUGGGACUUUGGGAGAUUAUUACAUUAUUGCAUGAUGCAGUAUACGGUGUUUUGGGGACUCCUGUGCCAUAUUUUCACUUUAAAUCAUCACUCAUAGCUUGGUGUUUCAUUGUUUAUAACGGUGAAGUCAGUAAUGAAUUUUCGAUCACAACAAACAUGAAAAGAAAUAUACUAAGCAUUUACAUACUGUGUCUGUGCUCUCUGCUGGGUUAGGAUGGAAGUCUACAGCACUGUGUUUUAAAGCACUUUUCUCAUCAGUCCUGCUCUUGCAGAAUCCUUAAAGAGCACAUUCCUACUGAGUAAGGGAAGGAAAAGGAGGUACCGUGUGUGGGGAAAGGUGAGGGGUCUCUCUGUAGGGUGUGUAACUUGCGACAAACCCAGAGUGAAGAAACUAGAGGGAAGUUGUAUUUUCCAUCCCUAGUGAGCUUUCAGGUACUUGCAGUUCUCUGGGUAACUGCAGUAGUUUCUCUCCUUCUGAUGCAAUGUUGUUAUGUUUUUCACUCAAACAUACUUGCAUCUUGAUGAUUCUACUCUCUAAAAAAGAUGAAAUGAAGAAUUUUUGAGAAAUAAACAUUUCAGGGAGGGACAGAAAUCAGGCAAAUGGUUUUGAGUGCAUACGUCUUAGAGUGUGUAGAAUUAGGGCACCAGGUUACAGAGGCAGGGCAAUCAGAGCAUAUUUCUUUUUUGAAUGUAAUAUACAUUAAUAUUGCAUGGACUAUUUUCUCCUCUGUCUGUUUUACUUAUUUUCAGAGGUAGAUUUGCAGUGACCUAGUACCCCAGUUACCUUGUUCUUCUGAAGACAUUCUCCAGAGACCGAGGUUGUCUUUAUUCAGUGCUUAACUCAGUUAGCUAUGUAGCUUGUGUUGAACUCUUGGAAGUUAGAACAUGCCUACAAAAAUGAUCCCAGGGCUGUCAGAUUCAGUGAUUUGAAACACUGUGAUAAUGCCUCCCUUAAGCUGUUAUGCCUAUAUUGAUAAAUAAUAAAUAAAGGAGAAAUUAGUAUGUUCUAAAACUAGUUGUAUAUUCUAAUUUUAGCAUAUGUGUGGGGAGUAGGGGAGAAAGGGAGAGAGAGAGAGAGAAUGGGAGAGAAUAAGAGAAAAAGGGAGAUAAAGACAGAUACUUUUCUUUUUACCAUUAUUUUGUUCUCUCCCCAAUCAAUGGCCACUGUGGAAAUUCUAAGCCCAGCCUAGAAAUUUCUGGAAUUUUUGUUUAAAUCACUUCCUUUUCAAGAGAGAGGGGAAUAUAUAGGAAGACUUUUCAUAUAGCAUACAUGCAUUCUGUCUAACAAAGUGCUCUGUGGGGUGUUCCUGAUACUAAGAACAUUUAAUAUUUUCUGGAAAAAUAUAUUUUAAGAGAGAAAGGAUUUAAUAGGUCCUUUGCUUCUGGUAAUCAGGUCAUCAGAUUAAAAAAGUAGUCAUCUAGUGGAGCUUUGUUAUGGGCUCCUCCUCUUGGUGAUUCACUGCGACCUCUGUUACUUUUGUAAAGCAGUGAUAUUGAAUGCACCUGGAAAAAAUUAUAAUCAGGUAUAAAAUUCAGUCAUUAAACAUGUCAGGUGUAUGUAUGGCUGCUUCAAAUGGUGUACUUUGUUCAUUUUAUGUAGAAAUAUACUGAUAUUCACAGAACUCAUCUAUUGCAAAGUGGCCCUCUCUUAAUAAUAUUUAGUGACUAAAUUUUAUUUCAACUUAUCUGGUUUUUAGAUGAUGUAAAACACCUAAAAGAAAGAAAUGUGAGGCUGGGUACGGUGGCUCACACCUGUAAUCCCAGCACUUUGGGAGGCUGAGGCGGGCGGAUCACGAGGUCAGGAGAUCGAGACCACCCUGGCUAACAUAAAUAAACCAUAAAUAAACCAAGCAGGAAAGACGAAUGAAGCAAGCGCAGAAGUCCAAAAGUAAGCCUAUGCACAUGACAAAUAUGAUAUUUCAGAGAAGAAAAGGUAGAUUUUUGAAAAAUAAUGUUGAAACAUCAUAUUAUCCAUUUUGAGAAAAAUAAAGUCACACGCUUAUGAAUACAGAAAAGCCCACAUGGAAUAAAAUGUUAGUAUUUAUGAUGACAAGAUUAGAAGAAAAUAGUGAAGUUUUCGUUUGUUUUGUUUUGUAAUUUCAAGGUAGAAGAGGAGUCUUCUUAGAAUGUACAUAUGCAAGAAUCCAUACAGGAAAAAUUAGCCAAUCUCAGUUAACUGCACAAAGAGAGAGA